CGCUUCGUGCUGCCGCUGCUGCUCUUAGUUAUUCCGUUGUCGUCGACGUUACCUGGAAUAAAGUAAAGCAGAGGGCGCCGCGAUAACGUUGCGGCCCCAUCCCCGGAUUAUUUAGUACGUGUGUGUAUUUGCCUUUAUCAUCUGACUCGAAAAAUGCGACGAGUAUGACUAUGGGGCGAUGACGACAACGUUUCGCUGGCCACUCGCACGCACAUGCUCCACCUAGUAAUCCCGGGAAAGGGCGGCGGCACCUAUCUAACUAAUCGCCUAAUCGCAUAAUAAAUUUCAUUUCAAUAAAAUAGUUUUCCCAGUUA
This is a long non-coding RNA of Drosophila guanche, 314 nucleotides long. RefSeq lists it as uncharacterized. The transcript is spliced from 2 exons. The record is from RefSeq and is a predicted model, not a curated record. NCBI's taxonomy places the organism in Eukaryota, Metazoa, Arthropoda, Insecta, Diptera, Drosophilidae.